GGCCUUGCAGAGCUGGUGCUUGGGAUGUACACGGGUGCCAGCAGUGCAGCAGGGAAACGAUGACUUGCCAAACUCCACGAGUCUGCUGCACUACACAAAUCUCGGUUCAGUUCCUGUGGAUAUUGAGUAAGAUACCUUACGGGAAGGAUGACUGAGGGGGAGCACAGGUGCCUCCUGACAGGCGAGCUGUGGGGAGCGCAGCACAAGGACUGCUGUCGAUGCCCCCGACGGCCUUGGAGCUGGGGGCUGACGGGCGCUGUCUGUGGGAGGCUCUUACGGCUGAUACGGCUGGGGAAUAAUUAACAGCAGGUGAGUAGGGAGGUAACAGCAAUUGGGUUUAUAAUCUGUUUUAUAUUUUUAGGAGAUAAUUUCUGGAUGCCAUAGGGAAUGUUACUUUGCUAGUCUGGGUUGCAGAAUUGAGUUAAUAUCCUCAAUUAAUAGAUUUAAUUUGAAGCUUUAAUAUUCUAAGAUAAUUGGCUACAUCCUGGUGCAAAUGAGCAAAACUACACUUAAAUGGUUAUAGAACACGUUGAUUUGAAAAUGUUUUGGGCUAUGUUUAAGGCUUUUAUUUUCGUAAUUCCCAUCACCUGCAGAAAAGUUAGGCUGGGGCCGGACUUGCAGAACUGUCCAACGCUGACUUUAAUGUUCUGUCAUUUUCGGUAGGAGUCUGCCAUUGCUUUGAGAAACAGGCGGGCUUUCCAAAACACCCAGAUGCCGCCUAACUUCCUUCUAGGAAGUGAAACAGGAGAGCCCCUCGUCUGUGCGGUGCUCCGAACUUGGCCAUGAGCAUGCGGAGAACAGGUGGGACUGUGCACAGGCUGGGCGGCUGCGGGUCAGCACGGGAGAAGACCAAAUUAACACAGAGGACACGAGCGGCACGUCCCAGAGGCCUGGCGGAGUCACCCCGAGCCGGUCGUGCCGCCGUCCCUGCCGCCGCCUCCCGCACGUGCUAUUCAAUGAGAAACGUCUUUGUGGUUUUAGUGUGGAUCCUCAGCUCCGCAGGGCACUGCCAGCCCCUCGGCACAGCAUCCUCCAACUCCUCCUCCUCCUGCUCCCCCCGGGCUGGGGCUGCUCGUUCUGCUCCGCGUUCGUGCUGGCACCUCCAGCUCCUGGGGACACAGCUGUCAGGUGCAAUUAUUUUGUCUGUCCAUCUGCCCAGAGAUCUCUUGGUGCACCAGGUUGGAACAGCAGCUCCUGCACAGGAACAAGUUGCACUUUCACGCACUGCUAUUUGA
This 1235-nucleotide long non-coding RNA is filed under the name Anser brachyrhynchus (Pink-footed goose). RNAcentral describes it as "lncRNA (ENSABRG00000016423.1)". The record is from RNAcentral. Lineage: Eukaryota; Metazoa; Chordata; Aves; Anseriformes; Anatidae.